Molecule: ribosomal RNA, 253 nt
Filed under: uncultured bacterium
Lineage: Bacteria
Description: partial 16S ribosomal RNA
Rfam family: Bacterial small subunit ribosomal RNA
Source: RNAcentral
GACAGAGGGUGCAAACGUUGCUCGGAAUUACUGGGCGUAAAGCGCGUGUAGGCGGCUUGUUAAGUCGACUGUGAAAGCCCUCGGCCCAACCGAGGAAGUGCAGCCGAAACUGACGAGCUUGAGUCCCGGAGAGGGUGGCGGAAUGCGCAGUGUAGAGGUGAAAUUCGUAGAUAUUGCGUAGAACACCGGUGGCGAAGGCGGCCACCUGGAAGGGCACUGACGCUGAGACGCGAAAGCGUGGGGAUCAAACAGG